RNAcentral lists this ribosomal RNA (43 nucleotides) under Lactobacillus sp. LS1. Its description in RNAcentral is "partial 23S ribosomal RNA". Lineage: Bacteria; Bacillati; Bacillota; Bacilli; Lactobacillales; Lactobacillaceae. The record is from RNAcentral.
GGACGUGGCAGCCUGCGAAAAGUAUCGGGGAGCUGGCAACAAG